RNAcentral lists this ribosomal RNA (484 nucleotides) under uncultured bacterium. RNAcentral's name for it is "partial 16S ribosomal RNA". It matches the Rfam family "Bacterial small subunit ribosomal RNA", at positions 30 to 507 of the family's 1533-position model. The record is from RNAcentral.
AUUGAACGCUGGCGGAAUGCUUUACACAUGCGAGUCGAGCGGCAGCACGGGGGCAACCCUGGUGGCGAGCGGCGAACGGGUGAGUAACACAUCGGAACAUGCCCAGUCGUGGGGGAUAACACUUCGAAAGAAGUGCUAAUACCGCAUACGUCCUGAGGGAGAAAGCGGGGGAUCGCAAGACCUCGCGCGAUUGGAGUGGCCGAUGUCAGAUUAGCUAGUUGGUGGGGUAAAGGCCUACCAAGGCAACGAUCUGUAGCUGGUCUGAGAGGAUGAUCAGCCACACUGGGACUGAGACACGGCCCAGACUCCUACGGGAGGCAGCAGUGGGGAAUUUUGGACAAUGGGGGCAACCCUGAUCCAGCCAUUCCGCGUGAGUGAAGAAGGCCUUCGGGUUGUAAAGCUCUUUCGGCAGGAACGAAACGGUGAGCUCUAACAUAGCUUGCUAAUGACGGUACCUGAAGAAGAAGCACCGGCUAACUACGUG